Molecule: ribosomal RNA, 129 nt
Organism: Ochotona princeps (American pika)
Lineage: Eukaryota; Metazoa; Chordata; Mammalia; Lagomorpha; Ochotonidae
Source: Ensembl
GUCUACGGGCAUACCACCCUGAACGCGCCCGAUCUCAUCUGAUCUCGGAAGGAAGUCAGAUGACCCUGAGUGCCUGAGCUCUGGCCACCAUGUGAGAGGCCCAGAUGAAACUCCAGGGUCCUGCCCUCA